This 433-nucleotide ribosomal RNA is filed under the name uncultured bacterium. RNAcentral describes it as "partial 16S ribosomal RNA". It matches the Rfam family "Bacterial small subunit ribosomal RNA", at positions 29 to 507 of the family's 1533-position model. The record is from RNAcentral.
GCGCACGCUGGCGGCAGGCCUAACACAUGCAAGUCGCACGCACCUUUCGGGGUUAGUGGCGGACGGGUGAGUAACACGUGGGAACGUGCCUUUAGGUUCGGAAUAACUCAGGGAAACUUGUGCUAAUACCGAAUGUGCCCUUCGGGGGAAAGAUUAAUCGCCUUUAGAGCGGCCCGCGUCUGAUUAGCUAGUUGGUUGAGGUAAUGGCUCACCAAGGCGACGAUCAGUAGCUGGUCUGAGAGGAUGAUCAGCCACAUUGGGACUGAGACACGGCCCAAACUCCUACGGGAGGCAGCAGUGGGGAAUCUUGCGCAAUGGGCGAAAGCCUGACGCAGCCAUGCCGCGUGAAUGAUGAAGGUCUUAGGAUUGUAAAAUUCUUUCACCGGGGACGAUAAUGACGGUACCCGGAGAAGAAGCCCCGGCUAACUUCGUG